This 107-nucleotide small RNA is filed under the name Marmota monax (woodchuck). The record is from RNAcentral. Lineage: Eukaryota; Metazoa; Chordata; Mammalia; Rodentia; Sciuridae.
GCUAGGCAUGGUGGUACAUGCCUGUAAUCCCAGUUACUUGGGAGGCUGAGGAUGGAGGAUUGUAAGGUUGAGGCCACUCUGGGCAACUUAAUAAGACCCUGUCUCAC